GAUGAACGCUGGCGGCGUGCUUAACACAUGCAAGUCGAACGAUGAAGCCCAGCUUGCUGGGUGGGUUAGUGGCGAACGGGUGAGUAACACGUGAGUAACCUGCCCUUGACUCUGGGAUAAGCCUGGGAAACUGGGUCUAAUACUGGAUAUGACUUCUCAUCGCAUGGUGGGGGGUGGAAAGAUUUAUUGGUCUUGGAUGGACUCGCGGCCUAUCAGCUUGUUGGUGAGGUAAUGGCUCACCAAGGCGACGACGGGUAGCCGGCCUGAGAGGGUGACCGGCCACACUGGGACUGAGACACGGCCCAGACUCCUACGGGAGGCAGCAGUGGGGAAUAUUGCACAAUGGGCGCAAGCCUGAUGCAGCGACGCCGCGUGAGGGAUGACGGCCUUCGGGUUGUAAACCUCUUUCAGUAGGGAAGAAGCGAGAGUGACGGUACCUGCAGAAGAAGCGCCGGCUAACUACGUG
RNAcentral lists this ribosomal RNA (466 nucleotides) under uncultured bacterium. RNAcentral describes it as "partial 16S ribosomal RNA". It matches the Rfam family "Bacterial small subunit ribosomal RNA", at positions 28 to 507 of the family's 1533-position model. The record is from RNAcentral.